RNAcentral lists this ribosomal RNA (460 nucleotides) under uncultured Treponema sp. RNAcentral describes it as "partial 16S ribosomal RNA". It matches the Rfam family "Bacterial small subunit ribosomal RNA", at positions 341 to 792 of the family's 1533-position model. Lineage: Bacteria; Pseudomonadati; Spirochaetota; Spirochaetia; Treponematales; Treponemataceae. The record is from RNAcentral.
ACGGGAGGCAGCAGCUAAGAAUAUUCCGCAAUGGACGAAAGUCUGACGGAGCGACGCCGCGUGGAUGAUGAAGGCCGGAAGGUUGUAAAAUCCUUUUAAGUGUGAAGAAUAAGUAGAAGAAGAGAAUGCUUCUAUGGUGACGGUAGCACUUGAAUAAGCAACGGCUAAUUACGUGCCAGCAGCCGCGGUAACACGUAAGUUGCGAGCGUUGUUCGGAAUUAUUGGGCGUAAAGGGCAUGUAGGCGGUUUUGCAAGCUUGGUGUGAAAUCUCGGAGCUCAACUCCGAAAUUGCGUUGAGAACUGCAUGACUGGAGUCACUGAGGGGCAAUCAGAAUUCCUGGUGUAGGGGUGAAAUCUGUAGAUAUCAGGAAGAAUACCAAUGGCGAAGGCAGGUUACCAGCAGAUGACUGACGCUGAGGUGCGAAGGUGCGGGGAGCAAACAGGAUUAGAUACCCUGGUA